This 213-nucleotide ribosomal RNA is filed under the name Myxococcales bacterium. Its description in RNAcentral is "partial 16S ribosomal RNA". It matches the Rfam family "Bacterial small subunit ribosomal RNA", at positions 1 to 211 of the family's 1533-position model. Lineage: Bacteria; Pseudomonadati; Myxococcota; Myxococcia; Myxococcales. The record is from RNAcentral.
CAACUAGAGAGUUUGAUCCUGGCUCAGAGCGAACGUUAGCGGCGGGCUUAACACAUGCAAGUCGUACGAGAACGGCCCUUCGGGGCUUAGUAAAGUGGCGCACGGGUGCGGAACACGUAGGUAACCUACCCUCCGGCGGGGGAUAACGUCCCGAAAGGGGCGCUAAUACCGCGUAAGACCACACUGCCUGCGGGCAGAGUGGGAAAAGAUGGC